Molecule: ribosomal RNA, 421 nt
Filed under: uncultured bacterium
Lineage: Bacteria
Description: bacterial SSU rRNA
Rfam family: Bacterial small subunit ribosomal RNA
Source: RNAcentral
UAAGGAAUAUUGGUCAAUGGACGGAAGUCUGAACCAGCCAUGCCGCGUGCAGGAAGACGGCCCUACGGGUUGUAAACUGCUUUUGUACCGGAAUAAACCCCCGAUCGUGAUCGGGGCUGAAUGUACGGUAAGAAUAAGGAUUGGCUAACUCCGUGCCAGCAGCCGCGGUAAUACGGAGGAUCCGAGCGUUAUCCGGAUUUAUUGGGUUUAAAGGGCGCGUAGGCGGCCUGUUAAGUCAGGGGUGAAAGACGGUAGCUCAACUAUCGCAGUGCCCUUGAUACUGAUGGGCUUGAAUGUACUAGAGGUAGGCGGAAUGUGACAAGUAGCGGUGAAAUGCAUAGAUAUGUCACAGAAUACCAAUUGCGAAGGCAGCUUACUAUGGUAUGAUUGACGCUGAGGCACGAAAGCGUGGGGAUCAAAC